Molecule: long non-coding RNA, 308 nt
Organism: Fukomys damarensis (Damara mole-rat)
Lineage: Eukaryota; Metazoa; Chordata; Mammalia; Rodentia; Bathyergidae
Exons: 3
Source: RefSeq, a predicted model, not a curated record
CCAAAAUCCGUGGAUGCUCAAGUCCUUUAUGUUAAGUGGUGACAUAUAUACAUCUUCCAGUCUAGUUUAAAUCAUCUCUAGAUGCCUAAUAAUACCUAGUGCAAUCAACUGUGGAACCAUUCCUUGCCUUUUAAGUUGUCAAGGUUGAUACUCCAUUCUUCCCAAAGCCUCAACUGACUUCCAUAGUGACCUAUGGUUGGAACAUAAAAGCAGAAAAUCUUGAGAGAAAACACUUGAUCUUUCCCCACUGCAUGUGAUGUCCUAUCCAUCCUGGAUAUAUUUAUGGAUUCCCCGCAUCCGGAAGAGGA